UACGUAGGGUGCGAGCGUUGUCCGGAAUUAUUGGGCGUAAAGAGCUCGUAGGCGGCUUGUCGCGUCGGAUGUGAAAGCCCGGGGCUUAACUCCGGGUCUGCAUUCGAUACGGGCAGGCUAGAGUUCGGUAGGGGAGAUCGGAAUUCCUGGUGUAGCGGUGAAAUGCGCAGAUAUCAGGAGGAACACCGGUGGCGAAGGCGGCUCACUGGCCCGAUACUGACGCUGAGGCACGAAAGCGUGGGGAGCAAACAGG
Molecule: ribosomal RNA, 253 nt
Filed under: uncultured bacterium
Lineage: Bacteria
Description: partial 16S ribosomal RNA
Rfam family: Bacterial small subunit ribosomal RNA
Source: RNAcentral